This 292-nucleotide ribosomal RNA is filed under the name uncultured bacterium. Its description in RNAcentral is "partial 16S ribosomal RNA". It matches the Rfam family "Bacterial small subunit ribosomal RNA", at positions 505 to 796 of the family's 1533-position model. The record is from RNAcentral.
GUGCCAGCCGCCGCGGUAAUACGUAGGGGUCGAGCGUUGUCCGGACUUACUGGGCGUAAAGCGUGGGUAGGUGGGUGCUGAUGUGCCGUGUGAAAGCGCCGCGCUUCUCGCGGCGAGGUCGCGGUAGACACAGCACCUAGAGGCACGGAGAGGGGCGUAGAAUUCCCGGUGUAGUGGUGAAAUGCGUAGAUAUCGGGAGGAAUACCAGUGGCGCAAGCGGCGCCCUGGCCGUGACCUGACACUGAGCCACGACGGCGUGGGGAGCAAACGGGAUUAGAUACCCCCGUAGUCC